AGCUCAGCUGGCUAGAGCACCUGCCUUGCACGCAGGGGGUCAACGGUUCGAAUCCGUUAUUCUCCACCACACCCUCCGUUUCCUGAAAAGGAUAGGAUAUCAUGCAAGCUACUUAACCGUUUGUUAAGUAUGGGGUAAAGUUCUUUGACAUAUUGGAAGAAGUAAUUGAAACAAGAGAAAACAACAGAAUAGGGACGUUGUUUGGCUGGAAUCAAGAUGACAAGAAACAAGAGACAAGACUUCGGUCCUGGUUCUUGAAUCCUGAAGUCCUGACUCUACGAACGNNNNNNNNNNNNNNNNNNNNNNNNNNNNNNNNNNNNNNNNNNNNNNNNNNNNNNNNNNNNNNNNNNNNNNNNNNNNNNNNNNNNNNNNNNNNNNNNNNNAUCCUGAGUACCGCGAGGUCGGAGACGCCUUGUGGGAAUCUGCCGGCACCAUCCGGUAAGGCUAAAUACUCCUGAGAGACCGAUAGUGAACCAGUACCGUGAGGGAAAGGUGAAAAGAACCCCGAACAGGGGAGUGAAAUAGAACCUGAAACCGUGUACUUACAAGCGGUCGGAGCGGUUAACACCGUGACGGCGUGCCUUUUGCAUAAUGAGCCUACGAGUUACUCUUUCCUGGCAAGGUUAAGUGUUUAAGACACGGAUCCGAAGCGAAAGCGAGUCUGAAUAGGGCGUAUAGUCAGGGGAGGUAGACGCGAAACCUUGUGAUCUACCCAUGGACAGGUUGAAGGUGCCGUAACAGGUACUGGAGGACCGAACCGAUAAACGUUGAAAAGUUUCCGGAUGAUUUGUGGGUAGGGGUGAAAGGCUAAUCAAACUGGGAAAUAGCUCGUACUCCCCGAAAUGUUUUUAGGAACAGCCUGGCGGUUGAGUUAAUAAGAGGUAGAGCUACUAAUUGGGUGCGGGGGAGUCAAAUCCUACCAAAUCCAGAUAAACUCCGAAUGCUUAUUAAUAUACGCUGGAGUGAGGCUCUGGGUGCUAAGGUCCAGGGCCGAGAGGGAAAGAACCCAGACCAUCAGCUAAGGUCCCCAAAUUACUGCUAAGUUGAACUAACGAGGUCCGAUUGCACAGACAGCUAGGAUGUUGGCUUGGAAGCAGCCAUUCAUUUAAAGAGUGCGUAACAGCUCACUAGUCGAGCGAUCGGGCAUGGAUAAUAAACGGGCAUCAAGCAGUAUACCGAAGCUAUGGAUUUGCAGUAAUGCAUCUGGUAGGGGAGCAUUCUAUAUGCCGGCGAAGCAGGAGGGACAACCGACUGUGGAGGAUAUAGAAAAGCAAAUGUAGGCAUAAGUAACGAUAAGGCGGGAGAGAAACCCGCCCACCGAAAGACUAAGGUUUCCUGAUCAACGCUAAUCGGAUCAGGGUUAGUCGGGGCCUAAGGUGAAGCCGAAGGGCGUAGCCGAUGGACAACUGGUUAAUAUUCCAGUACUUUUUAUAACUGCGAUGCGGUGACGGAGUAGUGACACUGACGCGAACUGACGGAAUAGUUCGUUAAAGGCCGUAGGUAUAUGGACUGUAGUUAAGUACGCAGACCAUGCUGAAAGCUGAUAGUACUUGAAACCUUCGGGGGACGAGAUAGUUCAGGUAAUCAGACUUCCAAGAAAACCCGCUAAGCUUCAGGUUAUAAAAACCCGUACCGUAAACCGACACAGGUAGUCGAGGAGAGAAUCCUAAGGUGCUCGAGUGAAUCAUGGCUAAGGAACUCGGCAAAAUGGCCCUGUAACUUCGGGAGAAGGGGCGCUUUCAGCAAUGGAAGCCGCAGUGAAAAGGCCCAGGCGACUGUUUAACAAAAACACAUGGCUAUGCAAAAUCGAAAGAUGACGUAUAUGGCCUGACACCUGCCCGGUGCCGGAAGGUUAAGAGGGGAUGUUAGGAGCAAUUCGAAGCAUUGAAUCGAAGCCCCGGUAAACGGCGGCCGUAACUAUAACGGUCCUAAGGUAGCGAAAUUCCUUGUCGGGUAAGUUCCGACCUGCACGAAUGGUGUAACGAUCUGGGCGCUGUCUCAGCCAUGAGCUCGGUGAAAUUGUGGUAUCGGUGAAGACGCCGGUUACCCGCAACGGGACGGAAAGACCCCAUGCACCUUCACUACAACUUAACAUUGAUAUCGGAUACAGGAUGUGUAGGAUAGGUGGGAGACUGUGAUCAUGCUUCGCUAGGAGUAUGUUAGUCAACGUUGAAAUACCACCCUUUCUGUAUUUGGUGUCUAACCCUGCAUAGCGGGGGACAUUGUUUGGCGGGUAGUUUGACUGGGGUGGUCGCCUCCAAAAAGGUAACGGAGGCUUUCAAAGGUAAGCUCAGUACGCUUGGUAACCGUACGUGGAGUGCAAUAGCAUAAGCUUGCUUGACAGUGAGACAGACAAGUCGAGCUGGGUCGAAAGACGGAUAUAGUGAUCCGGUGGUUCUGCAUGGAAGGGCCAUCGCUCAAAGGAUAAAAGGUACGCUGGGGAUAACAGGCUGAUCUCCCCCAAGAGCUCAUAUCGACGGGGAGGUUUGGCACCUCGAUGUCGGCUCGUCACAUCCUGGGGCUGGAGAAGGUCCCAAGGGUUGAGCUGUUCGCUCAUUAAAGUGGCACGCGAGCUGGGUUCAGAACGUCGCGAGACAGUUCGGUCCCUAUCUGUUGUGGGCGUAGGAAGUUUGAGUGGGGCUGACCUUAGUACGAGAGGACCGGGUUGGACUAACCUCUGGUGAAUCUGUUAUGGCGCCAGCUGUAUUGCAGAGUAGCUACGUUGGGAAUAGAUAAGCGCUGAAAGCAUCUAAGUGCGAAACUAGCCACAAGAUGAGACUUCCAUUGAGGGUCGUAGGAGACUACUACGUUGAUAGGUUACAGGUCUAAAGGUGGUGACAUCAUAGCCGAGUAAUACUAAUUGCCCGAAGCUUUCUUCA
Molecule: ribosomal RNA, 2879 nt
Filed under: Mucilaginibacter lappiensis
Lineage: Bacteria; Pseudomonadati; Bacteroidota; Sphingobacteriia; Sphingobacteriales; Sphingobacteriaceae
Description: 23S ribosomal RNA
Rfam family: Bacterial large subunit ribosomal RNA
Source: RNAcentral